This 4187-nucleotide long non-coding RNA is filed under the name Piliocolobus tephrosceles (Ugandan red Colobus). RNAcentral describes it as "lncRNA (ENSPTEG00000001020.1)". Lineage: Eukaryota; Metazoa; Chordata; Mammalia; Primates; Cercopithecidae. The record is from RNAcentral.
CAAGACGAAAUACUUUUAAAAACUAUAUAAAAAAAAUAAAAAAAACUAGUAUACAACUGUUUUACAUAUAUAUCUUCUUUUUUCUUAUUCAAAAAUUUCGUUCUUUUUUUUUCUUUUUACCACAUAAGUUGAAUGAUAUUUUUAAUUAUAUUAUUUAUAUACGACAAAGUGUUAACUUAGAAGGAGCAAAUAAAAACUUUUUUACUUUUUGUGAUAACAUUUAUAUGAACAGUAACCCUAAUGGAAGUAAUCAUUAUAUUGGUGGCAGUAAUAAUAUAUACUACCAAGGAAAUUUCGUCGAAUGCUUUGUAAACUCGCUGAAAUGUAUAUAUUCCGAGUGGUUAAACAUAAUAAACUUGUUAUAUAAUUAUCACACGUUACAAAUUUCAAAGCAGUAUAAUAUAUUUCUUGUGAAUGAUGAGCAAUUUGUAAUAUUAUUAGAAAGGUUACAACAAAUUAAGCUCCUCAAUUAUAUAAAAUUUGAAGAUUUUGUUAUUUUAAAGAGAAAAAAAGAGAAAAAAAAAAAAAAGUACAGACAGAGGUUGUUACUACAUCAACAGGAAAAUCAAAGAUCCCAAGGCGGUUAUAAUAGUAUUGUGCAACAUAUACAAGAUCAUAACGUUAUGUGUGAUGUUGUGUGUGAUGUCGUGCGUAACGAUGGGUAUAAUUUUUACCCAUUUAGAACUGAUAACAUGGUCGAACAUGAUAGUGCAAAUGAGACUACAAAAACAAGCGGUGGAAAAAACAACAAAACACAUAUAGACCUUAACAACAUUUCCAAUUUCAGGUCAUUAAGCUUAAUUCAUUUUCAGUUUUUAAUUAGCAAAUAUUUACGCAUGUGGAGCAGUUUAUACGAUUUUUUAAAUUGUAUUUUAUCAUAUUUAUUAUAUAAUAUUAAUAUAUAUGAUUAUAAUUAUUUCAACUUAAAUUAUGACAACGCGAAAAAGUUUUGUAUUUGCUAUGACAUGAUUUUACUUUUUUGGAGAAACAGUCAAAUAAUGAAUAAUAAAUCAUUGGAAAAAAUAUUUCGUUUUUUAUUAAAUGAUUUGAAUAUAUAUUAUACAAAGCAUAUAAAUAAUUGGAUUAAAAAAGGGAAAGUAGAUGAUAAGUUUAAUGAAUUUUUUGUAUAUUUAAAAAAAAAAAAAAAAGAAGAAGAAGGAGGAGGAGAAAGAAAAAUACAAAAUUAUGAACAAUCAGAUUAUAACGAUCAUAUGCUUUUUAUAAAAAAACAAAAUGACUUUGUUUUAUGUCCAGAAUUUUUUAAUUCAUAUAUAUUUUUUUUAAUUAGCUUGGGAAAUAAUGUUCGUUUGUAUAUGAAAAUAGACUAUGAAAAAAGUGAUAUUGAUUAUGUUGAUUAUUAUUUAAAAGAAGGAGCUUACGCAAACACAAACACAAACACAACCAUAGAAAAAAAUGCUUACUUGGAUAAACGAAAAAAAAAGAAGGUCCACAAAAUAGUAAACAGUGCAGAUGGUUAUGGUUAUAAAAUAAGUGGUAAUAACAAUGCGUACUGCCUGAAUUCUUAUGACGAACACAAUGAAAAUACAUACCCAAAUAAUGCUUUCAUUUUUUAUAAAAAUCGAUCUUCUCAUUUUAAAAAAUUACACGAAAAUACACUUAAUUAUUAUUAUAAUUUGGAAAAUGUAAAAAGAAAUAAUAACAGUUCGUUAGAUAUAUUAUCCAAGUUUUUAAAAAAAAGUAAAAAUAAAAAAAUAGGUUUACCAUAUUUUAAAAAAAAUGUUAUGUCAUUAAAUAUAUCAUAUGACUUAUUUAUUCAAAAAUAUAUACAAGAACAUUUUUUUAAUCUUUAUCAAACCAGUAAUCGUAUAUUUGUUUAUAGUUUAAUGAGACAUUCCUAUUUUAUAGAAUAUUUUGCUUGUUUCCGUAGCGUAACAUUUCUUGAGAUUACUGAUUACAUUUAUCCUUUCUUGGAACUUAUUUUUAAAGAAACACAAACUCCUAUUAUAGAUGAAAGAAAUUUGAAUUUUACUUUUAAACAAUGUGUUAUGCAAAAUUCGGAUUUAAUUUAUAAAACACCAUUAGACCAACAUGGUAACAACAAAUCCAAACAAACAAAUAAAGACAUUAUAUGUGAUAGUACAUAUUCUUGUGCGUCUUUUCUACAUAACAAGUUUGUUUUAACACACAUAAAUAUAUUACUCUCAAAGGAUGAUGAUACGUCUGGUGCACUAAGUUAUAAAUUGAUUUAUGAUACUACUCCUGUUAGUGAUAACCUUAGUGUGGAUAAUAUUAAUGCAAACAGAACCCAUAACGAUGCUAGGCAAGAUGGUACAAACCAAAAUGGUGAUAAGCAAAAUGGCACAAACCAAAAUGGUGAUAAGCAAUAUGGCACAAACCAAAAUGGUGAUAAGCAAGAUGGCACAAACCAAAAUGGUAAUAAGCAAGAUGGUACAAACCAAAAUGGUAAUAAGCAAGAUGGUACAAACCAAAAUGGUAAUAAGCAAGAUGCCCGUGUCAACAAAAAGCAACAACGGAUGUGCAAAGAGUUAUUAUCCAAUUUUUACAAAGAAGAAAUAAUCAGUACUAUAUUAAACAAAUUUUAUUUUAAAUUAAAAAAAAAUAACAUAUAUGAUAAUAAUAUAAAUGCUAUAAAAUAUCGUAAUUUAAUUAUUAAAACAAAAGGGGCACCAUUUAUAAAUUUUUUUUUUGAUUCGAACUGCUUAGACAAAUAUUCAGCUAUUUUUUCUUUUUUCUUAGAAAUAAAAAAAUCUUUACAUAUAUUAAAUUUGGUUCAUAUAUUUUAUAAAUUUUUAAAAAGCAAAAAAACAACAGCUGUACAAAAACAUUAUGAUAACAAUUUCCAUUCUAUUAUUAACUUUUUAUAUAUGCUAAAAUAUAAAACAUAUUUUUUUUUUAAUACCUUAUAUACAUAUUAUCAAUGGGUUUUAACUUUUGCUUGGAAUAAUUUUUUAUUCAAAUUAUCUCAAACUAGGUCCUUAUAUCAUAUUAAAACAGAUCAUGAGCUUUAUUUAGAUUUUUUAGUAGAAACAAUGUUAUUACCAAUAAGCACAGAACAUGAAGAGAUACAUAACAUAUACAUAAAUAAUGAUUACAAACAGAAUAAUAACAAAAUAUAUGAACAAUUUGAAAAAAAACUAUACAAUUAUACGAAUGAUUAUUCAAAUCGUAGUAACAAUAAUAAUAAACAAACAAGAAAAGGAUUAUUAUAUAAUGACUACAACUUGAACGGUGCUAACUUAAAAUAUAAACAUGAACCAAAUAAUAUAUCAAAUAGGAUAGGCAACAUAAUAGGGGACGGAAUAGGGGACGGAAUAAGAGAUAGUAGUAACAAAUAUAAUGAACAAACAAACAAUUAUGACAACACACACCAACAAAAUCAAAAUAUAAAUAAUAACCUAGGAAGAAAUAUGAUUAAUAAAAAAUUUUUACUGAAUGAAUUAUUUGCUAAUAAUAUUUUAAACUUACUAUUUAUACCAUCUCAAAUAUAUGAAAUUUUAGUCAAGCUAAGUAAAUAUUUUAAUAUUAAGUUUGAUUUAAAUUUUGAUAACUCUUAUGAUGAGCUUUACGAGUAUGAAAAAAAUGAUUAUGAUGGCGGGAAAAUGAGACGUAGUGGUAACUACAUUAACUACAACGAUGAUGGCGCAUAUGAUGAAGUAAAAGAGAGUAUAAUAAAUAGUAACACAUCAUAUAAAGACUUACAAAAUGCUAAUAAUACGAACAACACAACAAAUUAUACUGAUAAGGAACAAAUAACAUUUUACAUACAAAACGAAAUAAAAACACUUUCAAAUAUAUUUGAUUUACAUUAUUCAGAAUUUAUAAAAAAAUUAAACAUUAUAUCUUUUAAUACAGAAACAAAUAGUUUUUUUAGGCCGCAAAAAAACUCAGAAUUAUUUAAUUGUGUUAUUAGAUUAAAUAAAAACAUUUUAAAAAGGGUUUCCAUUUUGGAAUAUAUGUUAUCAUUUCAUACGUUCAAUGUUGACGAAAACAGUGAAAAGUUGUGUUUGUUAUGAGGUUAAGUGUGUGCUCAUACAUACAUACAUACAUACAUACAUACAUAUAUAUAUAUAUAUAUAUGUAUUAUGUAUAUAUUUUUUUGGACCUGCUGCUCCCCCUGUUGUUUAUUUAUAUAUUUUAUUUUUUUUUAUGCGCACUUACAUAUAUAUAUAUAUAUAUAUUCUAGGUGAUAAUUAAAACAACUGUUU